Molecule: ribosomal RNA, 543 nt
Filed under: uncultured bacterium
Lineage: Bacteria
Description: partial 16S ribosomal RNA
Rfam family: Bacterial small subunit ribosomal RNA
Source: RNAcentral
UGGGGAAUAUUGGACAAUGGGCGCAAGCCUGAUCCAGCCAUGCCGCGUGAGUGAUGAAGGCCCUAGGGUUGUAAAGCUCUUUCGCCAGGGGACGAUAAUGACGGUACCUGGAUAAGAAGCCCCGGCUAACUUCGUGCCAGCAGCCGCGGUGAUACGAAGGGGGCUAGCGUUGUUCGGAAUCACUGGGCGUAAAGCGCACGUAGGCGGAUCUUUAAGUCAGGGGUGAAAUCCCGAGGCUCAACCUCGGAACUGCCUUUGAUACUGGAGGUCUCGAGUUCGGGAGAGGUGAGUGGAACUGCGAGUGUAGAGGUGAAAUUCGUAGAUAUUCGCAAGAACACCAGUGGCGAAGGCGGCUCACUGGCCCGAUACUGACGCUGAGGUGCGAAAGCGUGGGGAGCAAAACAGGAUUAGAUACCCUGGUAGUCCACGCCGUAAAACGAUGGAUGCUAGCCGUUGGGGAGCUUGCUCUUCAGUGGCGCAGCUAACGCUUUGAGCAUCCGCCUGGGGAGUACGGUCGCAAGAUUAAAACUUAAAUGAAUUGAC